AAUUCUCAACCACACUGAUUAUGAUUGGUGUGGCUUGGAUAUGGGUGUUGUGGGCUUCUGUAGUCCGCUCCCCUGAAAUUAAUUAGCAGUACUUUUGGUGGAACUGUCUACAGGUGUGAUAAUUAUCUACAUCCUAGACAUCUGCUGCACUGCUUUCCAAAAAACCUUGCUUGUAUUGACAA
RNAcentral lists this unclassified non-coding RNA (182 nucleotides) under uncultured Inocybe. RNAcentral's name for it is "sequence contains ITS2". The record is from RNAcentral. Lineage: Eukaryota; Fungi; Basidiomycota; Agaricomycetes; Agaricales; Cortinariaceae.